AAAACUUUUAACAACGGAUCUCUUGGUUCUGGCAUCGAUGAAGAACGCAGCGAAAUGCGAUAAGUAAUGUGAAUUGCAGAAUUCAGUGAAUCAUCGAAUCUUUGAACGCACAUUGCGCCCGCCAGGCAUUCUGGCGGGCAUGCCUGGUU
Molecule: ribosomal RNA, 149 nt
Filed under: Colletotrichum gloeosporioides
Lineage: Eukaryota; Fungi; Ascomycota; Sordariomycetes; Glomerellales; Glomerellaceae
Description: 5.8S ribosomal RNA
Rfam family: 5.8S ribosomal RNA
About the family: 5.8S ribosomal RNA (5.8S rRNA) is a component of the large subunit of the eukaryotic ribosome.
Source: RNAcentral